This 2125-nucleotide small RNA is filed under the name Pan troglodytes (chimpanzee). RNAcentral describes it as "retained intron". The record is from RNAcentral. Lineage: Eukaryota; Metazoa; Chordata; Mammalia; Primates; Hominidae.
GGAAUCCUGUACUAUGUCUACAUGGGGCUGCUGGCAGUGUUCUGUACCAAUGCCAUCAAUAUCCUAGCAGGAAUUAACGGCCUAGAGGCUGGCCAGUCACUAGUCAUUUCUGCUUCCAUCAUUGUCUUCAACCUGGUAGAGUUGGAAGGUGAUUGUCGGGAUGAUCAUGUCUUUUCCCUCUACUUCAUGAUACCCUUUUUUUUCACCACUUUGGGAUUGCUCUACCACAACUGGUAAGUAGGCCUGUGGAUAAGGGGACAACUACCUGAACACAUGGCAAAGAUGGCCCUUAUCAUAACCCACCUUGUGGUGGUGAAGCUAAACCUGCGCAUACCUCUAUGGAGUUUUCUGCGUCUUCAGUUGGUAGUAUUCUGAAAUUUCUCUCUACCCAGUAGUAGUUAGGGAUGAGUGCGUGGAGGCCCCAGGAAUAGUUGAAUUCAGGGCCUUGGAUCCUGCAGAGUUGCUGCACAACUGGAGUCUCCUCUGAGUCAGAACUAGGGUCAGGGCUAGUCCAGUGCCCAUAGGGUGUGAUGUGAGAGAAGGGAUUGGUAAUGCCUCUUGCCACUGGCUCGGAUCCUCUUCCCCCACACAGGUACCCAUCACGGGUGUUUGUGGGAGAUACCUUCUGUUACUUUGCUGGCAUGACCUUUGCCGUGGUGGGCAUCUUGGGACACUUCAGCAAGACCAUGCUACUAUUCUUCAUGCCCCAGGUGUUCAACUUCCUCUACUCACUGCCUCAGCUCCUGCAUAUCAUCCCCUGCCCUCGCCACCGCAUACCCAGGUAGCCGCUUUGGGGCUUGAAAUGGACAUCAUAGCCUUUUCACUUGGGAUAUCUAAUGCCAGCCUAUACAUUUGCUGUGCAAAGGGAGUGGGCCCAAAGAAGGGCUAUUUCCAUGUGAGUAGCCCUUUAUAACUUACAAAGCACAUUUAUUUGCAUAAUCUGCUACAGUGGUUCUGAUAACAGUAAGCAGCAGAGCCAGAAAUAGAUCUCAGGUUGACUCCACAUUCAAUGCUCUUCCUAUUAGCCACAGGGAGGAGGGUUCAAAUAGUGGCCCAGUCACAUGAAGCUAUCUUCCCCCCGCAGACUCAAUAUCAAGACAGGCAAACUGGAGAUGAGCUAUUCCAAGUUCAAGACCAAGAGCCUCUCUUUCUUGGGCACCUUUAUUUUAAAGGUAACAGGGUAACAAGGAGGUAAGGCCCUAGGCUGCCAUCCUGACCUUGAGGAAUGGGGAACCUAGUCCUACAUCAGAUCCAAGGGGAACUUGAAAGCAUUAAAUAGAUCCACAUUCCUAAAGCAUAGGUAUUAGCUGAGGUUCUCUUCACCUCUGGUCCCUCCAGGUGGCAGAGAGCCUCCAGCUGGUGACAGUACACCAGAGUGAGACUGAAGAUGGUGAAUUCACUGAAUGUAACAACAUGACCCUCAUCAACUUGCUACUUAAAAUCCUUGGGCCCAUACAUGAGAGAAACCUCACAUUGCUCCUGCUGCUGCUGCAGGUGAGGAUGGGAAUCGAGUUUAUACCUCCGUGUCUCCCUUUCUGCGUGAUUCUUACUCCAGUCCAUUUCUCCUUGCAGAUCCUGGGCAGUGCCAUCACCUUCUCCAUUCGAUAUCAGCUCGUUCGACUCUUCUAUGAUGUCUGAGUCCCUUGAUCAUUGUCCUUUACCUCACAGUCUCUAGGAUUCCUGACUCAGGCUGACCUCUCUCUCUGGUCCCAGACUGCCUCCUUGCCCAGGCCUCUCUCACUCUUCAUACUCCUCCAGAUUUUGUUCUCAGCAUUUUCCUUUCUCUGUGAUCAUUGGCAUCCUGGGCGUUUCUUGCCCUCUACUGACUACUGAUUGGAUUUUACCUAUGGCUUUCUGCGACUUGCUACUCUCUCCCUCUCCAUCCCAUCUUUGCAGCCUCAUAGGGUGGGAUACAGCAGCUUUUUUUGCAGUUAUCCACACUCACAUUUCAGAGUCCUGACUCUCAAGGAACCACUGGUUUUUGGGAUAGAACUUGGGCCAGGGCUAGGAACACAGGCUCCACGGUGACAUGUCAUUUGAUUGUAAAUUAAGUGUUCUGAUUAGUAAGAACUAAGCAGGGGGCCACAUGCUCUCAAUGGAGACAAUAAAGUGUUGUCUUUUUCUU